GCCGGAGUGGCGGAACUGGCAGACGCGACGGGCUCAAAAUCCGUUUCCCGCAAGGGAGUGGGGGUUCGAGUCCCCCCUCCGGCACCA
This 87-nucleotide transfer RNA is filed under the name Acidobacteriota bacterium. RNAcentral describes it as "tRNA-Leu". It matches the Rfam family "tRNA". Rfam says of the family: Transfer RNA (tRNA) molecules are approximately 80 nucleotides in length. Their secondary structure includes four short double-helical elements and three loops (D, anti-codon, and T loops). The record is from RNAcentral. Lineage: Bacteria; Pseudomonadati; Acidobacteriota.